This 543-nucleotide long non-coding RNA is filed under the name Phasianus colchicus (ring-necked pheasant). Its description in RNAcentral is "lncRNA (ENSPCLG00000013874.1)". The record is from RNAcentral. Lineage: Eukaryota; Metazoa; Chordata; Aves; Galliformes; Phasianidae.
UUUGACCUCAAAUCAUUGCCGGAGCUUUGACCCCAAAUCACUGCUGGAGCUCCGACCCCAGAAUCACCGCUGGAGCUUUGACCCCAAAUCAUUGAUGGAGCUCCCACCCCAAAAUCAUUGCUGGAGCUCCAACCCCAAAUCACUGCUGGAGCUCCGACCCCAAAAUCAUUGCUGGAGCUCCGACCCCAAAUCACUGCUGGAGCUCCGACCCCAAAAUCACUGCUGCAGCUCCCACCCCAAAUCAUUGCCGGAGCUUUGACCUCAAAUCAUUGCUGGAGCUUUGACCCCAAAUCACUGCUGGAGCUCCGACCCCAGAAUCACUGCUGGAGCUUUAACCCCAAAUCACUACUGCAGCUCCCACCCCAAAUCUCUGCUGGAGCUCCCACCCCAAAUCACUGCUGGAGCUCCGACCCCAAAAUCACUGCUGGAGCUCCCACCCCAAAUAUCUGCCACAGCUCCCACCCCAAAUCACUGCCACAGCUCCCACCCCAAAUCACUGCUGGAGCUCCGACCCCAGAAUCACUGCUGGAGCUCCGACCCCAG